AGGCUUAACACAUGCAAGUCGAACGAAGUUAGGAAGCUUGCUUCUGAUACUUAGUGGCGGACGGGUGAGUAAUGCUUAGGAAUCUGCCUAGUAGUGGGGGAUAACUUGGGGAAACCCAAGCUAAUACCGCAUACGACCUACGGGUGAAAGGGGGCUUUUAGCUCUCGCUAUUAGAUGAGCCUAAGUCGGAUUAGCUGGUUGGUGGGGUAAAGGCCUACCAAGGCGACGAUCUGUAGCUGGUCUGAGAGGAUGAUCAGCCACACUGGGACUGAGACACGGCCCAGACUCCUACGGGAGGCAGCAGUGGGGAAUAUUGGACAAUGGGCGAAAGCCUGAUCCAGCCAUGCCGCGUGUGUGAAGAAGGCCUUUUGGUUGUAAAGCACUUUAAGUGGGGAGGAAAAGCUUAUGGUUAAUACCCAUAAGCCCUGACGUUACCCACAGAAUAAGCACCGGCUAACUCUGUGCCAGCAGCCGCGGUAAUACAGAGGGUGCAAGCGUUAAUCGGAAUUACUGGGCGUAAAGCGCGCGUAGGUGGUUAUUUAAGUCAGAUGUGAAAGCCCCGGGCUUAACCUGGGAACUGCAUCUGAUACUGGAUAACUAGAGUAGGUGAGAGGGGAGUAGAAUUCCAGGUGUAGCGGUGAAAUGCGUAGAGAUCUGGAGGAAUACCGAUGGCGAAGGCAGCUCCCUGGCAUCAUACUGACACUGAGGUGCGACAGCGUGGGUAGCAAACAGGAUUAGAUACC
This 743-nucleotide ribosomal RNA is filed under the name Moraxella catarrhalis. RNAcentral describes it as "bacterial SSU rRNA". It matches the Rfam family "Bacterial small subunit ribosomal RNA", at positions 44 to 786 of the family's 1533-position model. The record is from RNAcentral. Lineage: Bacteria; Pseudomonadati; Pseudomonadota; Gammaproteobacteria; Moraxellales; Moraxellaceae.